RNAcentral lists this ribosomal RNA (914 nucleotides) under uncultured archaeon. RNAcentral's name for it is "bacterial SSU rRNA". It matches the Rfam family "Archaeal small subunit ribosomal RNA", at positions 1 to 922 of the family's 1478-position model. The record is from RNAcentral.
UUCCGGUUGAUCCUGCCAGACCUGACUGCUAUCGGAUUGAUACUAAGCCAUGCGAGUCAUUGUAGUAAUACAAGGCAGACGGCUCAGUAACGCGUAGUCAACCUACCCUAUGGACGAGGAUAAUCUCGGGAAACUGAGAAUAAUACUCGAUAGACCAUUAUGCCUGGAACGGUUUAUGGUUAAAAUGAUUCGUCGCCAUAGGAUGGGACUGCGGCCUAUCAGCUUGUUGGUGAGGUAAUGGCCCACCAAGGCGAUUACAGGUACGGGCUCUGAGAGGAGAAGCCCGGAGAUGGGUACUGAGACAAGGACCCAGGCCCUAUGGGGCGCAGCAGGCGAGAAAACUUUGCAAUGUGCGAAAGCACGACAAGGUUAGUCCGAGUGAUUUCUGCUAAAGAAAUCUUUUGCAAGUUAUAAAACCACUAGUGAAUAAGGGGUGGGCAAGUUCUGGUGUCAGCCGCCGCGGUAAAACCAGCACCUCAAGUGGUCAGGAUGAUUAUUGGGCCUAAAGCAUCCGUAGCCUGCUCUGUUAGUUUUCGGUUAAAUCCAUGUGCUCAACACAUGGGCUGCCGAAAAUACUGCAGGGCUAGGGAGUGGGAGAGGUAGACGGUACUCAGUAGGAAGGGGUAAAAUCCUUUGAUCUAUUGAUGACCACCUGUGGCGAAGGCGGUCUACCAGAACACGUUCGACGGUGAGGGAUGAAAGCUGGGGGAGCAAACCGGAUUAGAUACCCGGGUAGUCCCAGCUGUAAACGAUGCAGACUCGAUGAUGCAUUGGCUUAUUGCCAAUGCAGUGUCGCAGGGAAGCCGUUAAGUCUGCCGCCUGGGAAGUACGUACGCAAGUAUGAAACUUAAAGGAAUUGGCGGGGGAGCACCACAAGGGGUGAAGCCUGCGGUUCAAUUGGAUUCAACGCCGGA